CACGGGGGUUGCGAGCGUUGUCCGGAAUUACUAGGCGUAAAGGGCAGGCAGGCGGAUCCAUAAGUUUAUCGUUUAAGGCGUCGGCUUAACCGGCGUAGGGCGGUAGAUACUGUGGAUCUGGAAUGCGGUUGGGGAAGACAGAAUUCCUGGUGUAGCGGUGGAAUGCGCAGAGAUCAGGAGGAAUACCGAAGGCGAAGGCAGUCUUCCAAGCCGUUAUUGACGCUCAACUGCGAAGGUGUGGGUAUCAAACAGGAUUAGAUAUCCGGGUAGUCCCUGA
Molecule: ribosomal RNA, 277 nt
Filed under: uncultured prokaryote
Description: partial 16S ribosomal RNA
Rfam family: Bacterial small subunit ribosomal RNA
Source: RNAcentral